This 253-nucleotide ribosomal RNA is filed under the name uncultured bacterium. RNAcentral describes it as "partial 16S ribosomal RNA". It matches the Rfam family "Bacterial small subunit ribosomal RNA", at positions 524 to 776 of the family's 1533-position model. The record is from RNAcentral.
GACGUAGGGCGCGAGCGUUGUCCGGAUUUAUUGGGCGUAAAGAGCUCGUAGGCGGCUUGUUGCGUCGACCGUGAAAACCCGGGGCUCAACUUCGGGCUUGCGGUCGAUACGGGCGGGCUAGAGUUCGGUAGGGGAGACUGGAAUUCCUGGUGUAGCGGUGGAAUGCGCAGAUAUCAGGAGGAACACCAACGGCGAAGGCAGCUCGCUGGGACGGUACUGACGCUAAGGCGCGAAAGCGUGGGGAUCAAACAGG